CCCCUGGACGCAGUCUGAUGGAGCAACGCCGCGUGUAUUGAGGAAGGUCUUCGGAUCGUAAAAUACUGUUGUCAGAGAAGAACACCGGAUAAAGUAACUGUUGUCCCGCUGACGGUAUCUGACCAGCAAGUCACGGCUAACUACGUGCCAGCAGCCGCGGUAAU
RNAcentral lists this ribosomal RNA (164 nucleotides) under uncultured Lactobacillus sp. RNAcentral describes it as "partial 16S ribosomal RNA". It matches the Rfam family "Bacterial small subunit ribosomal RNA", at positions 367 to 524 of the family's 1533-position model. The record is from RNAcentral. Lineage: Bacteria; Bacillati; Bacillota; Bacilli; Lactobacillales; Lactobacillaceae.